GUAAGCUAGGUCGGGCGGCGAGGGGAGUACAGGGGGUGUAGGCGUUAACUGGAAGUAAUGGGGGUAAAGCGGGUGUAGGUGGCUCAUUAAGUCACAGGUGAAAUCCCCGGGCGUAACCUGGGAACUGCAUGUGAUACUGGUGGUGCUAGAAUAUGUGAGAGGGAAGUAGAAUUCCAGGUGUAGCGGUGAAAUGCGUAGAGAUCUGGAGGAAUACCGAUGGCGAAGGCAGCUUCCUGGCAUAAUAUUGACACUGAGAUUCGAAAGCGUGGGUAGCAAACAGGAUUAGAUACCCGGGUAGUC
Molecule: ribosomal RNA, 300 nt
Filed under: uncultured Pyrodictium sp.
Lineage: Archaea; Thermoproteati; Thermoproteota; Thermoprotei; Desulfurococcales; Pyrodictiaceae
Description: bacterial SSU rRNA
Rfam family: Bacterial small subunit ribosomal RNA (bases 51-300)
Source: RNAcentral